Molecule: long non-coding RNA, 184 nt
Organism: Vanessa atalanta (red admiral)
Lineage: Eukaryota; Metazoa; Arthropoda; Insecta; Lepidoptera; Nymphalidae
Exons: 3
Source: RefSeq, a predicted model, not a curated record
CAACACUGAAUUCACAAAUUCAACGAUUGAAUGCUGAAGGUAGAAUGUUACUAUUCGGAGGAAUGAUGGCUGAAGUGUUCCAAGCGAUGAUUCAGAUGUUAGCCUCUGAACCUUCUGAUGUUAUGCUAAAUCAUUUUAAAUACGCAGAAUAUGCGUUAGAAAAUAGACAUGCUGUUCUAAAGAG